This 410-nucleotide unclassified non-coding RNA is filed under the name Hevea brasiliensis (rubber tree). The record is from RNAcentral. Lineage: Eukaryota; Viridiplantae; Streptophyta; Magnoliopsida; Malpighiales; Euphorbiaceae.
UUUGGUAAUGCGGUGUAGCAGGAGACUAAUUGUCAUGUACCAAAGCUACAUGGUGGCAAAUUGAAGUAGGCAGUGGUACAGGAUGUCUUGUUCACUUUUACUUUUAUGUAGUGAUACACUUUAUGCUAUACACCUUUAUUCUUAUAGGUACUAGGUGAAUCAUCUGGCUUUUUGCAUAUAACAUGUAAUUGACACUGUUCUAUUGUCUAUUCUUGUUAAUCACUCUACCAUUCUUCAAGGAAAGAAAGCACAUCAAGAAUUCUCUGUAUUUGUUCUCCACUGUCUGUAAACAUACCUUGCAUGAGUCCCUUUUUCUGUUUGUUCCUUCUCCUAAUGAUACAGUAGCACUUAUUUUCCUUGAAACUUAAGUUUUCCUCAAUGUUCACAGCGGAUGGUUCAAAUGAGGAUGA